RNAcentral lists this ribosomal RNA (369 nucleotides) under Klebsiella pneumoniae. Its description in RNAcentral is "bacterial LSU rRNA". It matches the Rfam family "Bacterial large subunit ribosomal RNA", at positions 891 to 1257 of the family's 2925-position model. The record is from RNAcentral. Lineage: Bacteria; Pseudomonadati; Pseudomonadota; Gammaproteobacteria; Enterobacterales; Enterobacteriaceae.
CAUCUUCGGGGGUAGAGCACUGUUUCGGCUAGGGGGUCAUCCCGACUUACCAACCCGAUGCAAACUACGAAUACCGAAGAAUGUUAUCACGGGAGACACACGGCGGGUGCUAACGUCCGUCGUGAAGAGGGAAACAACCCAGACCGCCAGCUAAGGUCCCAAAGUCAUGGUUAAGUGGGAAACGAUGUGGGAAGGCACAGACAGCCAGGAUGUUGGCUUAGAAGCAGCCAUCAUUUAAAGAAAGCGUAAUAGCUCACUGGUCGAGUCGGCCUGCGCGGAAGAUGUAACGGGGCUAAACCAUGCACCGAAGCUGCGGCAGCGACACUAUGUGUUGUUGGGUAGGGGAGCGUUCUGUAAGCCUGCGAAGGU